Molecule: unclassified non-coding RNA, 363 nt
Filed under: uncultured bacterium
Lineage: Bacteria
Description: contains 16S-23S intergenic spacer region
Source: RNAcentral
UCCCCGUUACCGGGGCAGUCUACCUAGAAAAAUACAACUAGGUACAAGGGUUGCGCUCGUUGAUGGACUUAACCAAACAUCUCACGACACGAGCUGACGACGGCCAUGCAGCACCUGUCACCAAGUUCCCGAGGGCACAGUUUCCUUUCGGAAGCCUUCUUGGGAUGUCAAGCCCUGGUAAGGUUCAUCGUUUAUCAUCGAAUUAAAGAACACGAUCCACCGCUUGUGCGGGUCCCCGUCAAUUCCUUUAUGUUUUAGUCUUGCGACCGUACUCCACAGGCGGGAUACUUAACGCGUUAGCUUCGCUACUGAAGGGGUCGAUACCUCCAACAGCUAGUAUCCAUCGUUUACAGCGUGGACUAC